CUCAAACAAUCAGGCAAUGAAUCCCAAGACGUAUAUUUAGACCUUUUCUUGGCGGAUUCCUCCCCCUAUACAAGGUAAAGUAACAAAACAAACUGCAAGCAAUGAACUUGUUCAAACCGAAUCCUAACAGCUCAUUAGGUGACAUGUUCAAGCUUAAACUCAUGGUGCCUAAUGAAACUAGGCUAAUUCUCAGCCUCUAAUAAAGAAAGUUCUAACCAUGAACAAGCAGCAAACUCCAUAAGAAUCCUGAUUGUAGCCAAGGGAAACGAAACAUGUGAACUCUUUCAUCUUUCAAACAUUUUGGAAUUAAAAAAAUUGUAUGAUAGAACGGGUGCAGUUCUAAACACCAUUUACAUAUACGUAUAAGUUAUAUCCCUUACAUUAGAUGGCAUAAAAGCCAAUAUCAUUAGCACAGCUAAAAUGCCUAUUGGAAGCAGAAGCAGCAAGAAAGGUGGGGGAGGCAAUGGAGGAAGUAUCAAGGGAAGGAUCAGCAAGGAUGCUGUUAGACAUACAAGCAGAAGCAGUGAUUCCAAGCUGAAGUAGCUCACUGGUAAUAAUCUUCUGGCACCCCCUUGUGAGAAAGAGCGAUGAUAUUCCACCUUUUUCCUCUCAACAACCGACGUAGGAACUUUCCCUGCUCUCAUGUCCAUAAUGCUAUUUGAGUAUCGAUCCUGCAGAUUAAAAAUACCUCUAGGAAAUCUCCUGUUCAACCCAGAGAGCUCAACUCUCAUUUAAAAUUCUCUUACUUGCCUGGUUGACACCCCAGAUCCGAUUGAACCCUUUGUCAGCUAAUAAGUUUAUAAUCACAGCCAAAUCAACAAUGUCGAUGAUGACUAAUGCAGAUUGCAGAUGGGAAUACAGAUAAAUCCAAUUCGGUGAAACCCCAGGAUACUCUCUUUGAAAUGCAAUGAUAUAGCCAGUCAACCUAGAACGGGGACUGACCAAGUUUAGGCAAUAAGUACAAAUUUGUCUUCAAUGCACGAAUUUAAGUUGAGCAACACUCUAAAAUGUAGCCAAGCCUCAGCAUUGGAAGCCUGGCUUUUUCACACCAAAGAAAAAUACUCCGUAAUGGCAGCAGUUGUAGCUAAAUCCAGAUUAUUAAAUGCGGCAAAAUUUGAAAGUUUCUUCAAACCAAGGAGAGGAAGCUUUGCGCACAAUGUGAUGUAAGCAAGACUCAGAUUCUGCAAUGCAGUCCAGGUCAGCCAACUUCUAACAGUAUUGGAUGCAACUAUGGUUGAAGAAUGCGGAUCAAUAGAUUCAAGGAAUUCAGGUGUUAACAACUUAGCAUCAGCAAAUUUGAAGCAACUAUAAACCAAAAUCUUUAUAUCUAUCUUUAAGCAGGGAUUCAGCAGACAUCAGAUUGUACGCCAUGAAACAUCAUCCCCAAUGAUCCAGCUGCAUUAAUUCCAAGAUUUCAAUCAAUUCAAGACGAAGACGAGCCAUCAAUCAUAGCAUCAAAAGCUCAGGAAAUGAAGAACAUUAAGGUAAUCGAACCACUCUACAUCAGUAAUAUUGGAAAUAAAA
This 1524-nucleotide long non-coding RNA is filed under the name Theobroma cacao (cacao). Its description in RNAcentral is "long non-coding RNA (TCAC_LNC002793)". The record is from RNAcentral. Lineage: Eukaryota; Viridiplantae; Streptophyta; Magnoliopsida; Malvales; Malvaceae.